Molecule: non-coding RNA, 193 nt
Organism: Brassica napus (rape)
Lineage: Eukaryota; Viridiplantae; Streptophyta; Magnoliopsida; Brassicales; Brassicaceae
Source: Rfam
AUACUUUUUUCCGCCGUUUGGCUAAGAUCAAGUGCAGUAUAUGUUCUUAUCAGUUUAAUAUAUGAUAUUUGGGUCAUCUGCUCAUCUGAUAUUAACUUUUUUUUAAUGGAAAAAACUCAUUAAAUAACUUGCUAUUUGAGUUUUCGAGAGUCUCCUAUGCUUCACACUACUGCAAGGGUCUGGUCUACCCACC